CCCUUAGAUGUUCUGGACCGCACGCGUGCUACACUGAGUGGAUCAGCGGGUCAGGUUGCGCGAAAGUGUUUCCUAAUCUUUAAAUCCGCUCGUGAUGGGGAUUGACGGUUGCAAUUUUCCGUCAUGAACGAGGAAUACCUUGUAAGCGCGGGUCAUCAUCCCGCGCUGAAUACGUCCCUGCCCUUUGUACACACCGCCCGUCGCUCCUACCGAUUGAGUGGUCCGGUGAGGCUUUGGGAUCUGAGCGGAAAGAGCGUUUCGCUGUUUCUGCCCGGAAAACUCAGUCGAACCUUAUCAUUUAGAGGAAGGAGAAGUCGUAACA
This 322-nucleotide ribosomal RNA is filed under the name uncultured eukaryote. RNAcentral's name for it is "partial 18S ribosomal RNA". It matches the Rfam family "Eukaryotic small subunit ribosomal RNA", at positions 1470 to 1796 of the family's 1831-position model. The record is from RNAcentral.